Molecule: small nucleolar RNA, 107 nt
Organism: Gossypium raimondii (Peruvian cotton)
Lineage: Eukaryota; Viridiplantae; Streptophyta; Magnoliopsida; Malvales; Malvaceae
Rfam family: Plant small nucleolar RNA R71
About the family: R71 is a member of the C/D box family of snoRNAs containing the C (UGAUGA) and D (CUGA) box motifs. Multiple nearly identical copies of this snoRNA have been identified in Arabidopsis, and it is thought to function as a 2'-O-ribose methylation guide for 18S ribosomal RNA.
Source: Rfam
AAUCCAUGCAUCAGACAUUUCUGAAUUAAAUAUUUGAAUCGUUCUCAAGCUUCAUAUAGUGUUUCAUCCUCCAGUUGCCAAAAAGAUGUGAUGUCAUUUCUAAGCAU